GGCAAAGAGACGGGUUUUGCCCCUUGCACUCGUCCUUUAUCGGCGUAAGUUUUUAAGACUGAUGUCAACGCUCAUUUCCAUAAACUCCAGUCCGCCACCAAUUAAAAAAACCGUGACUUGUGAAGGCGAGUCCUUUCUCACGGAGCCGCCAAAGUCGCAACAGCUCAACGCUGAAAGCCCGUCUGUGGUCUAUUGAAGUGGUACAGGGUGCUUACCCAUGCUGUGAUUUAAUGACUUAAUGACCUAAGGACAAAGGGCAGCGCCUGAAAUUAUCAUCCUCUACUGGUCUGGGAGUCAUCCUCUACUGGUCUGAGCAUCAUCCUCUGCUGGUCAGUCGAGCACUGUGACACAACAUAUAACAGUAUAGGCCUUACUACAACGCGUCACAGGUAGAAAAGUAGAUGGAUGCAGGGACGUUCGGUGACUGAAAUAUACCAUACAUACCAUAAAUAAAGCUGAGAUAUACUCUCCAAAAAUA
This is a non-coding RNA of Electrophorus electricus (electric eel), 478 nucleotides long. The record is from RefSeq and is a predicted model, not a curated record. Lineage: Eukaryota; Metazoa; Chordata; Actinopteri; Gymnotiformes; Gymnotidae.